This 223-nucleotide ribosomal RNA is filed under the name uncultured bacterium. RNAcentral's name for it is "partial 16S ribosomal RNA". It matches the Rfam family "Bacterial small subunit ribosomal RNA", at positions 113 to 334 of the family's 1533-position model. The record is from RNAcentral.
CGACGUGAGGAACCUGCCUCAAAGAGGGGGACAACAGUUGGAAACGACUGCUAAUACCGCAUAAGCCCACGGCUCGGCAUCGAGCAGAGGGAAAAGGAGCAAUCCGCUUUGAGAUGGCCUCGCGUCCGAUUAGCUAGUUGGUGAGGUAAAGGCUCACCAAGGCGACGAUCGGUAGCUGGUCUGAGAGGACGACCAGCCACACUGGGACUGAGACACGGCCCAG